Molecule: ribosomal RNA, 482 nt
Filed under: uncultured bacterium
Lineage: Bacteria
Description: partial 16S ribosomal RNA
Rfam family: Bacterial small subunit ribosomal RNA
Source: RNAcentral
AUUGAACGCUGGCGGCAUGCCUUACACAUGCAAGUCGAACGGAAACAGGACGCAAGUUGCUGUCGAGUGGCGACCGGGUGAGUAAUGCUAAGGAAUGUGUAAAGUCGCGGUGGAUAUCUACUCGAUACAGUAGAUAAUACCGCAUACGAUCUAUGAUAGAAAGCGGGGUACCGCAAUGCUUCGCGCGGUUUGUGCUGCCGCUGUCAGAUUAGCUAGUUGGUCGGGUAAUGGCUCACCAAGUCAACGAUCUGUAGCUGGUCUGAGAGGACGACCAGCCACACUGGGACUGAGACACGGCCCAGACUCCUACGGGAGGCAGCAGUAGGGAAUUUUCGACAAAGGGCGCAAGCCUGAUCCAGCAAUGCCGCGUGCAUGAAGAAGGCCUUCGGAUUGUAAACUGCUGUUAUUCGGGACGAACCAGCGCGUGUGAAUACCCGGAGGUAUUGACGGUACCGAAAGAAAAAGCACCGGCUAACUACGUG